CAAGAGAUGGCCCAAAUCUGCUACAUAGCUAAUGACGAUGAGGUAGAUUCUGAACUUGAAUAUGAUUUUUCAGUAGAAGAGUUACAUGAUGCAUUUUUAGAACUGAUGGAAGAACACAAGAAGCUAAUUCAUAAAAAUAAAAUUCUAAAAGAUGAAAAUCAAUCUCUUAUCAAAGAUAAGCUGAAACUAUCUAAUGACUAUGAAACAUUAAGUAGGAGGUUCACAAAUGAAACCAAAAAUCUAAUUGCUGAAAAUAUCAAGCUAAAAGAAGAUGCAGAAAAAUACAAAUCCUUAGU
RNAcentral lists this long non-coding RNA (296 nucleotides) under Phoenix dactylifera (date palm). RNAcentral describes it as "long non-coding RNA (PDAC_LNC009277)". The record is from RNAcentral. Lineage: Eukaryota; Viridiplantae; Streptophyta; Magnoliopsida; Arecales; Arecaceae.